This 829-nucleotide long non-coding RNA is filed under the name Gallus gallus (chicken). RNAcentral's name for it is "lncRNA (ENSGALG00010009725.1)". Lineage: Eukaryota; Metazoa; Chordata; Aves; Galliformes; Phasianidae. The record is from RNAcentral.
CACGGGAUCACCUGAAUGUCACCAUGGCAGCACCAGGAUGUCACCAUGGCAGCACCUGAAUGUCACCAUGGGAUCACCUGAAUGUCCCCAUGGGAUCACCAUAACAUCACCAUGGGAUCACCAGGAGGUCAACAUGGGAUCAGCAGGAUGUCGCGAUGGGAUCACCAGGCUGUCACCAUGGCAGCACCAGGAUGUCACCAUGGGAUCACCUGAAUGUCCCCAUGGGAUCACCUGAAUGUCACCAUGGGAUCACCAGGAUGUUACCAUGGGAUCGCCUGAAUGUCACCACGGGAUCACCAGGAUCUCACUAUGGGAUCACCAGGAUUCCACCAUGGGAUCACCUGAACGUCCCCAUGGGAUCACCUGAAUGUCUCCAUGGGAUCACCAGGACCUCACUAUGGGAUCACCAGGAUGUCACCAUGGCAUCACCUGAAUGUCCCCAUGGGAUCACCAGGAGUCACCAUGGCAGCACCAGGAUGUCCCCAUGGGAUCACCAGGAGCUCAUUAUGGGAUCACCAGGAGGUCACCAUGGGAUCAGCAGGAUGUCACCACAGGAUCACAAGGAUGUCACCAUGGGAUCAGCAGGAUCUCACUAUGGGAUCAGUAGGCUGUCCGUAUGGGAUCAGAAGGCUGUCCGUGUGGGAUCAGUGGGCUGUCUGUAUGGGAUCAGCAGGCUGUUCCUAUGGGAUCAGUAGGAUCUCUCCAUGGGAUCAGCAGGCUGUCCGUGUGGGAUCAGCAGGAUCUCACUAUGGGACCACCAGGCUGUCCGUGUGGGAUCAGUGGGCUGUCUGUAUGGGAUCACCAGGAUCUCACUAUGGGAUCAGCGGGC